This 343-nucleotide unclassified non-coding RNA is filed under the name soil metagenome. RNAcentral describes it as "partial contains 5.8S ribosomal RNA, internal transcribed spacer 2, and large subunit ribosomal RNA". The stretch from base 1 to 120 matches the Rfam family "5.8S ribosomal RNA", at positions 35 to 154 of the family's 154-position model. The record is from RNAcentral.
GAUGAAGAACGUAGCGAAAUGCGAUAAGUAAUGUGAAUUGCAGAAACCAGUGAAUCAUCGAAUCUUUGAACGCACAUUGCGCCCGCCAGCAUUCUGGCGGGCAUGCCUGUUCGAGCGUCAUUUCAACCCUCGACCUCCCUUUGGGGAAGUCGGCGUUGGGGACCGGCAGCACACCGCCGGCCCUGAAAUGGAGUGGCGGCCCGUCCGCGGCGACCUCUGCGUAGUAAUCCAACUCGCACCGGAACCCCGACGCGGCCACGCCGUAAAACACCCAACUUCUGAACGUUGACCUCGAAUCAGGUAGGACUACCCGCUGAACUUAAGCAUAUCAAUAAGCGGAGGA